CAUGCUUCCACUUUCGGUGCACUCCUCAAAUCCAAUAAAAGAUGUAAUAUUUACAAAAUUAAACACAGGAGAAGAGAAGAAGAAAGUCUAGAUCAUGCCGCAUGGAAAGAUUUUGUGAAAAUUAAAAGAUUGAAUUAGGCAAGCUCAUAGUGGUGGGGUAGAAGAAAAAUUUAAGAGGAAAGGAGCCUUCGAUGAUGUCCAGGUGCAAUCUAUUUCCAACUUCUUUCCAAGCCAUAGCUUAAAGGAUUAUGCUACUUGUACAAAAAGUUUUACGGGAAGUUUUACAGAAAGAAUUAAAUUUUAUUUUUAAUUUUUUUAUACUUGGAUUAUGCCGCUUGAGCCGUCCGCCAUCGCCGCUUGCACCGCUCGCCGUCGCCCACACCACCGCCGCUCGCACCGCCGUCGAACAUCAGGGUUGUUUGAGUCGAAGCCCAUGAGCGUGGCUACAUGAAACAUGCCGGAGCAACCUUCAAUGGCCUCAUCGAAGCUCCCGUCUUCGCCCAAAUCCACCUUCCACAGCGUCAAGUUGGUGUCGGCAUUUGGCUACUCCAUCAUCGGCUUCACCUUCUUCAUGUUCCCUAACAUUAAACAAAAAAUCAUCAUAGAAUUGUUCUCCUUAUUCUAAUUCUUCUUCCCUUUGAUCCUGCUUGAAUUCUUCCCAUUAAUGGAUGGGAACUAAAACUGGUUUGUGUACCUGGGUCGCGAACGGUUGCGCGAACAGUAUGUCCGCGUUGAAGAAGCCUCAUGACGAGCCACGAGCCGAUGAACCUGGAAGCUCUGGUGACGCAUACGGUGGCCGACGGUGGAGAAACUUCCAUGGCUAAAGGCUAGAGCUAAAGUUUGAAGGUGGGAAUAUUCGGAACAAAGAUUGAUAGAAUUUGAGGCUAGAAAUGGGGACGGUAUUAGGUGACGUGAUGAUUUUUCUACUGUUCCUUGAGGUUGCAUUAUAUAAACCAACAAGGGGAAUGGUUCCGUUUAGAGUUGAAUUACCAUGUUUGUGCCCUGUGGGAUUUGGUCACUGGUCAUGAAAAAUUUGCAACAUCCGGAUAUACUUGAGGCCGAAUAAUGUAUUCAGCCUUGAAUAGGAGAUUACUUAGGAUUGACUCA
Diospyros lotus (date-plum) is the source of this 1107-nucleotide long non-coding RNA. RefSeq lists it as uncharacterized. The transcript has 2 exons. The record is from RefSeq and is a predicted model, not a curated record. NCBI's taxonomy places the organism in Eukaryota, Viridiplantae, Streptophyta, Magnoliopsida, Ericales, Ebenaceae.